Long non-coding RNA from Erigeron canadensis, 1333 nucleotides. RefSeq lists it as uncharacterized. The record is from RefSeq and is a predicted model, not a curated record. NCBI's taxonomy places the organism in Eukaryota, Viridiplantae, Streptophyta, Magnoliopsida, Asterales, Asteraceae. The transcript is spliced from 2 exons.
CUCUCCACUAUAUCAUCAUCAUUCAUCAUAUCCUAGAAGGUCAAAUUCUAUUCUGCGAGUGUUAGUUGUUCAAUUAGUGAUCAAAGAUAUGAGAAUUUGAUUCAGCUUAUAUAUUUAAGACUUUUCGAGAUUGGUAUGAUUAUAUAUAUAAUGGAGGAAAAACCCCGAUAUUCCUGGAAAAAAAUUGGUUGAAAGUUUAAGAGAUGAGUAUGGAAUAGAAAUCCAUUCACACGCGAUGAAUUUAUCGGAAGUGGCAAGUUCCAGUUAGGUAAUUAGAGGUUGUUUCUCAAGGAUUAGAUGACAGCUCUUGGACAUUGCAGAUUGAAAUAUAUAUAUAAAUAUAUUUUUUUUUGAAGCGCAAAAUGCAGAUUAAAAAUAUAAUGGCAAGUUUGCGUAUUUUUAUUCCAGAUGGUAACAUUUGACUCUCUUAAACCUUCAACCAAGCUAUAUAUAUAUAUAUAUACACAAACUUCUCCUAGAAUAUCGGGUUUUUUCCUCCGUCUGUUAUAUAUAAUAGGAUGACAGAUCGGUAUUAUAUAUAACAGAUUGAGGAAAACAACCCGAUAUUUCAUAAGAAGUUUGUGUAUAUAUAGCUUGGUCGAAGUUUUAACUGUUACCCGUCAAGAGUAGAACGUAAACACACUCUCAACGAAUAUUGAAUGUGGUAGAAAAUCACUUUGUCAAAGUGCUCAGCAGGAAUGCCACAUAGCCCAGUUAUGGAUCAUUUUGGCCCAAUUGAAAUCUCCAAGUAUUUGAUGAAAGCCCAAUAGCCCAUCUUUAGUUUCAUGUUACAUUAUUUCAACGGAAGUGUUAAUCCUACCACAAGUUUGAUAUAUAUACCACAUGCAUGCAUUACUGGCUUGUACAAUAUAUUUUAAAACUUGUACUGUAUGGUAAAAUUAUUAAAAACUGUGAUAUGAAUAUCAUUUCCCUUAUUUUAAAUGGCUAGUCAUGUUAGGUUAACUUGAAGGAAUCCCUUCCUUUUCUUUAUAGCAUUUUAUGUUUCUAUGUUUCAUUUUAUUUUAUUCUCUUUAAUUUGAGAGUGAGUACUAUAAUUCCAUUGCUAUUUUAGGUUUUGGCAUUAAUCAAGAGGAGAUCAUAGAAGCUAAUAUCGUCAGUUCUUGUAGUGAGACUGUAUCGAGAACACAUAUAAGAAUAAUGCCCUUCAAGGCUCUCGAGUGACGAGUUUGUAACUUGUAGUGAUUCGUUGUUUUUCUAACUAUUGGUGGGUAUUUCAAUAUGUACCUAAGCUUAUAUCUAUCAUAUAUAGUGAACCUUCAUAAAUUUGUACAAAAACACCAUGCAUAUAAAGCAGUUUCGAAUGUCGUCAAUA